RNAcentral lists this ribosomal RNA (496 nucleotides) under uncultured bacterium. Its description in RNAcentral is "partial 16S ribosomal RNA". It matches the Rfam family "Bacterial small subunit ribosomal RNA", at positions 29 to 507 of the family's 1533-position model. The record is from RNAcentral.
ACGAACGCUGGCGGCGUGCCUCAUACAUGCCAGUAGAACGCUGAAGAGAGGAGCUUGCUCUUCUUGGAUGAGUUGCGAACGGGUGAGUAACGCGUAGGUAACCUGCCUUGUAGCGGGGGAUAACUAUUGGAAACGAUAGCUAAUACCGCAUAACAAUGGAUGACACAUGUCAUUUAUUUGAAAGGGGCAAUUGCUCCACUACAAGAUGGACCUGCGUUGUAUUAGCUAGUAGGUGAGGUAAUGGCUCACCUAGGCGACGAUACAUAGCCGACCUGAGAGGGUGAUCGGCCAAGCUGGGACUGAGACACGGCCCGGAAUCCUGCGGGAGGCAGCAGUAGGGGAUCUUUGGCAAUGGGGGCAACCCUGACCGAGCAACGCCGCGUGAGUGAAGAAGGUUGUCGGAUCGUAAAGCUCUGUUGUAAGUCAAGAACGGGAGUGAGAGUGGAAAGUGCACACUGUGACGGUAGCUUACCAGAAAGGGACGGCUAACUACGUG